This 1262-nucleotide long non-coding RNA is filed under the name Piliocolobus tephrosceles (Ugandan red Colobus). RNAcentral describes it as "lncRNA (ENSPTEG00000006948.1)". The record is from RNAcentral. Lineage: Eukaryota; Metazoa; Chordata; Mammalia; Primates; Cercopithecidae.
UUUCUUCAUAAUUUUUUUAAAAAAUAUACAUUGUGAUAUUAAAGAGUUAAGUUCUCAUGAAUUUUUUAAUAUGUUAACGACAGGAAAAAACUAUAAAAAAAAAAAUGAAAAUUUAAAUAAUACAUUAGAUUUUAAACGCCUAAAUGACUUACAAGAAAAUGUAUAUAUAAAGACAAACAAGGACUUUGUUCUUUAUGUAUAUGCAAAAUGGGAUAACGAUUCGAAGUACUGCUUAAAAAAAAAAAAAAAAAAAUUUAAAUAAAUGAACCAGCGGUGUGUACAUGUAUACAUACACAAAUAAAUACGUGUAUAUAUAUAUAUAUAUGUGCUUAUAUACAUAUAUACAUUUUACUAUUCAUACAAAUCAAGCGUAAUAACUUUUUUAUGGAGCAUAUAAGUAUAUAUAUAUAUAUAUAUAGAUAGUUGUGUAAGUUUAUGUGUAAAUGUAUAAAAAGUGUAUUUACAUAAUUUAACUUAUCCCAAUAUUCUAAUUCACAUCUUUAAUUUUAUUUUAUUAUUUUAUUAUUUUUUCAUUUUGUUUUUUUUUCUUUUAUAGUAAUUUAAUAGCCGUUUUUAGAGAAGUAGAAAGAAUAAUAAAAGAAAAGAACUUAAAGUUAGAUUUCUAUAUAUUUAACAUAGAAAAUGCUAAAGAUUUAUGCAAUGCAUUAAAUAUCACGUCACUCCCCUUGAUACUAUAUAUCUCUUCGGGGCAUAGAAAAAAAAAAAGUUCAUUAUUUCAGAAGAUUUUUAGUUCCAGUAAAGAUGUGAAAAUAAACAAUGCCUUCAGAUACAAUGGGGACUUGUAUUGCUAUGAUUACAUAGUGGAAUGGAUAGAAAUACAUUACCACUUUACAAAAGUAGUUUUACUAAUGAAGAACAUAUUUAACAAAAAAAAAAGAUAACACAUGCAAAUAUAUAAUGUCAUUUUUAUUUUACUAUUGACAGUAAAAUGAAUUUUUUUUUUACGAACUAAUUGACAAAAAGUAAGAAACUGUUUGUUAAUAGUUAUAAAAGUUUCAGAUGAAAAUGUAAAGUGCUUUUUUCUUCUAUUUAAAUCUUAAUGAAUAUUUAUUAUUUUUUAAAUGAAACAUAACAUUCUACUAUAGGUUUUUUUUUUUUUUUUUUUUUUUUAAAUCUAUGUUAAUACAUUUAUGUUAUAUAUAUAAGUUCCUGUUGGUGUAUACACCCAUUCAUAUAUGUUGUCUAUAUUGUUUAUACACACAUAUAUAUGUAUAUAUAAACUUUUAAGUUGAAUGUAAGUA